AUGGUUAAGAUAACUCUAGCACGAGGACAAAGAUAUGUGAAUGAAGAAAAUUCCUAUCUUUCAUCUUACAAGCAACAAGCUGAGUUUAUACUCCAAGAAAUUUCAAAAGGAGCAUUGUCACAUUCCAUGAUGACCAUUCUCAUUGACCAUUAUAGCUUCAAGUAUUCUUAUUAUAAUUUUUUUUCUUCUAUUUUUCUUCUCUGUUUUUUUAACUUCUUUAAUCAUCAUUGA
Non-coding RNA from Vicia faba (fava bean), 231 nucleotides. The record is from the annotation of a GenBank genome assembly. NCBI's taxonomy places the organism in Eukaryota, Viridiplantae, Streptophyta, Magnoliopsida, Fabales, Fabaceae.